RNAcentral lists this ribosomal RNA (420 nucleotides) under Acanthamoeba sp. RNAcentral describes it as "SSU rRNA". It matches the Rfam family "Eukaryotic small subunit ribosomal RNA", at positions 779 to 1103 of the family's 1831-position model. The record is from RNAcentral. Lineage: Eukaryota; Discosea; Longamoebia; Acanthamoebidae.
CGAAUUCAUUUUCUGCCACCGAAUACAUUAGCAUGGGAUAAUGGAAUAGGACCCUGUCCUCCUAUUUUCAGUUGGUUUUGGCAGCGCGAGGACUAGGGUAAUGAUUAAUAGGGAUAGUUGGGGGCAUUAAUAUUUAAUUGUCAGAGGUGAAAUUCUUGGAUUUAUGAAAGAUUAACUUCUGCGAAAGCAUCUGCCAAGGAUGUUUUCAUUAAUCAAGAACGAAAGUUGGGGAUCGAAGACGAUCAGAUACCGUCGUAGUCUUAACCAUAAACGAUGCCGACCAGCGAUUAGGAGACGUUGAAUACAAAACACCACCAUCGGCGCGGUCGUCCUUGGCGCGUUCGUGUUCACGCACGGGCGCGCGAGGGCGGCUUAGCCCGGUGGCACCGGUGAAUGACUCCCUAGGAAGAGGGGGGGAAG